GUGAAUCAUCGAAUUUUUGAACGCAAAUUGCACUCCCUGGUAUCCCGGGGAGUAUGCCUGUUUGAGGGUCGUUAGAAGAAAAAUCGAAGCAUCGCUCUUUUUUUGAGGGUGAUCGCGUCGGAAUUGAGCCGUCUUUCAAAUGCUAAUCCAUGUCAAAGUGGCUUAAAAUUCAUCCAUCCGGUACGAUUAAAGCGUAUUUAAGAUCAAUUUGGAUUAAGAACGCGCGAUGAAGUACCAUCCCAUGUAUUACUUUUGACCU
Molecule: unclassified non-coding RNA, 259 nt
Filed under: Funneliformis mosseae
Lineage: Eukaryota; Fungi; Glomeromycota; Glomeromycetes; Glomerales; Glomeraceae
Description: partial contains 5.8S ribosomal RNA and internal transcribed spacer 2
Rfam family: 5.8S ribosomal RNA (bases 1-71)
Source: RNAcentral